AGCACAGUGGCACAAUGGGCAGUGUUGCUACCUUACAGCUCCAGGGUCCUUGGUUCAAUCCUGAGCUGUGUGU
This 73-nucleotide transfer RNA is filed under the name Pangasius djambal. RNAcentral's name for it is "tRNA-OTHER". Lineage: Eukaryota; Metazoa; Chordata; Actinopteri; Siluriformes; Pangasiidae. The record is from RNAcentral.